GCACAAGCGGUGGAUGAUGUGGAUUAAUUCGAUGCAACGCGAAAACCUUACCUACCCUUGACAUGUCUGGAACCUUGGUGAGAGCCGAGGGUGCCUUCGGGAGCCAGAACACAGGUGCUGCAUGGCUGUCGUCAGCUCGUGUCGUGAGAUGUUGGGUUAAGUCCCGCAACGAGCGCAACCCUUGUCAUUAGUUGCUACAUUCAGUUGGGCACUCUAAUGAGACUGCCGGUGACAAACCGGAGGAAGGUGGGGAUGACGUCAAGUCCUCAUGGCCCUUAUAGGUGGGGCUACACACGUCAUACAAUGGAUGGUACAAAGGGUCGCCAACCCGCGAGGGGGAGCCAAUCCCAUAAAGCCAUUCGUAGUCCGGAUCGCAGUCUGCAACUCGACUGCGUGAAGUCGGAAUCGCUAGUAAUCGUGGAUCAGAAUGUCACGGUGAAUACGUUCCCGGGUCUU
Molecule: ribosomal RNA, 456 nt
Filed under: uncultured Acidovorax sp.
Lineage: Bacteria; Pseudomonadati; Pseudomonadota; Betaproteobacteria; Burkholderiales; Comamonadaceae
Description: bacterial SSU rRNA
Rfam family: Bacterial small subunit ribosomal RNA
Source: RNAcentral